Non-coding RNA from Acanthosepion pharaonis, 115 nucleotides. NCBI's taxonomy places the organism in Eukaryota, Metazoa, Mollusca, Cephalopoda, Sepiida, Sepiidae. The record is from the annotation of a GenBank genome assembly.
UUACGGUCAGAUCAGGUUGAAACACUGGCUCCCGUAUGAUCAUCGAAGUUAAGCAACGUUGAGUUUGGUCAGUAUAUUAGAUGGGUGACCACUUGGGAAUACCGGGUGCUGUAAG